Long non-coding RNA from Manis pentadactyla (Chinese pangolin), 966 nucleotides. RefSeq lists it as uncharacterized. The record is from RefSeq and is a predicted model, not a curated record. Lineage: Eukaryota; Metazoa; Chordata; Mammalia; Pholidota; Manidae. The transcript is spliced from 2 exons.
UAUUAUAUGUAUUGGUGUUCUCCUCCUUUGGUCCCUUGUGUUGGGAGAUGUGUGAACUUCCAUGGUCUGAGAGACUAUUUCCUUCCCCAGAUUGGGGAAUUUUCAGCAAUUAUUUCUUCAAAGACACUUUCUAUCCCUUUUUCUCUCUCUUCUUCUGGUACCCCUAUAAUGUGAAUAUUCUUCCGUUUGGUUUGGUCACACAGUUCUCUUAAUAUUCUUUCAUUCCUAGAGAUCCUUUUAUCUCUCUCUACCUCAUCUCUGUAUUCCUGUUCUCUGAUUUCUGUUCCAUUAACAGUCUCUUGCACCUCAUCCAGUCUGCUCUUAAAUUCUUCCAUUGUUUGUUUCAUUUAUGUUAUCUCUUCAGGAAUUCAUCUCUUGGCUCUUGGAUAUUUCUUUGUAGCUCCAUCAGCAUGCUUAUGACUUUUAUUUUGAUUUCUUUUCCAAUAAGAUGGGUGAUUUCAGUCUCAGCAGGCCCUCUCUCUGGUGUUUGAUGGAUUUUGGACUGAACAAGGUUCUUCUGCCUUUUCACGGCAAUGGAAGUGAUCACUGGCAAGUGGCACAUGUGUCAGCUGGGAUAACAAAGUCCCUUUCUGCUUGCUGGUUGCCUUGCCUGUCUUCGUUCUGCCUCUGCCAGUCCACCACAUACAUGGAGCAGCCUCUGGGUUAAUCCCCUGAGCUGCCAUGGGCAGGGCAGCUCUUGGGAUGUCCUAGGGCACUGGCGGGUUUGCAGGGAAGCAAGAAAAAAUCAGAAUCCCCACCACAUGCUGUACUUAUGCUUGGCUUUGAUAAACAGACAGAAGAAGUGUGUGCAGAGAGACAAACCUGAACUCAAAUAUGAAAGCAGUCUGACUUUUAGAAGUUGUGGUUCUAUGUUUGUAUCAAAAGGUAACUUUUGAAAAAAUCACAUCAUUGUUUUAAAAUUAUUCAUAAUCUGCCUUUAAAUAUAAGCAGAAAAGAUGUCUGAAA